This 1182-nucleotide long non-coding RNA is filed under the name Nicotiana benthamiana. Its description in RNAcentral is "long non-coding RNA (NBEN_LNC002931)". The record is from RNAcentral. Lineage: Eukaryota; Viridiplantae; Streptophyta; Magnoliopsida; Solanales; Solanaceae.
UAUAUAUCUGAAUUAUUCAAUAUGAAGGUUGUUGUCUUUAGUAGGAAUCAUAAUCCUAACAACAUUUACAUAGUGAAUAGGUACUACACGUGUCAGAUGAAGGCAGAGAGUGUGAGGCAUCUAUUUCUCCAUUGCGUAGUUACAGCAGAUUUGUGGAGUAUAUUUUUCUCAAUUUUUGGACUAACCUGGAUCAUGUCUAAGAGUGUGAGCCAUCUUUUCUCCAUUAUGCAGUUGCAGCAGAUUUGUAGAAUAUAUUUUUCUCGAUUUUUAGACUAACUUGAAAGAGGCCGACGAAAGCUGGUGAUCUUGGAGAGUUGGCAAAUUCAUACUGAAAAAUAUGGACAAAAAAGAAUAGCACAUAUUUUAAUGAGAUCAACUCCAAACCAUGCUUUUAAAGCUAAAUAUUUAUUGAACCUUUUUACUUGACUUAACCAGACACCUGCAACUACUUGUGAUCAUUUUUGGGACUAUAUUUGCUCUUUAGUUUUAACAUAAGUUCAUUUUUGUUUGUAAGCAGACACACUCAAUUUACUUGCAUUUUCUUUUGUUAAUAUAAUUAAUUCGUUUGUUAAUUAAUAUUAAAAGAUAAAUAUAAUAAUUUUUUUAAUCUGUAUAAAAUCAUCCAAAAAAACCCACUUAUUUCAAAUAUUCUGAAUCGAUGGAGUAAUGAUUUCUCGAAAUCAUAAGCAAAAAAGUAGGCAGAAAAAGUUUUAGGUCAAUUUCCCAGUACGCAAGAGGCUCAGAUCUGCAAAGAGAAAUCGGGAAAAAGAGAGGUGACGACGCCAUGGCUGCAAAAUCGUCGGCCGGCCGGUGAUUUGCCAAGCCAAGAUACGGGUCAAAUAGUCUCCAUACCCGACUCAUUUAGCCCAGAAUCCGAAUAAAUAAUCAUCACUGCCUCGAUUUUACGGAUCAAAACAGAAGAACAAUGACCAAAAAUACAGAAACAGAGAAAUAGAGUUUUUGCUGAUGAAAAAACUAAAGAAUUAAUUGUAUGUUUUCUAUGUUCAUCAAUCCAAGGGUUGUUGUUAUAUAUAAAGAGAGGAAAAAUCACUGGCUAAACAGAGAGGGUCAACCACCCUUUGGAUAAAAAUCCCAAAUUCUCUGUUUUUGCCUCACUUUUUUUUUUCCCUUUUCUGGGCUAACUUUUCUUUGCUUGGAAAAUACUUUGGUUUUCACCAAAUG